UACGGGGGGGGCAAGCGUUGUUCGGAAUUACUGGGCGUAAAGGGUGCGUAGGCGGCUUUCUAAGUUGGAUGUGAAAACUAUGGGCUCAACCCAUAGCCUGCAUCCAAAACUGGAGAGCUUGGGUUCUGGAGGGGAAAGCGGAAUUCCUGGUGUAGCGGUGAAAUGCGUAGAUAUCAGGAGGAACACCGGUGGCGAAGGCGGCUCACUGGUCCGGUACUGACGCUGAGGUGCGAAAGCGUGGGGAGCAAACAGG
RNAcentral lists this ribosomal RNA (253 nucleotides) under uncultured bacterium. RNAcentral describes it as "partial 16S ribosomal RNA". It matches the Rfam family "Bacterial small subunit ribosomal RNA", at positions 524 to 776 of the family's 1533-position model. The record is from RNAcentral.